AUUGAACGCUGGCGCCAUGCCUUACACAUGCAAGUCGAACGGCAGCACGGACUUCGGUCUGGUGGAGAGUGGCGUACGGGUGAGUAAUACACCGGAACGAGCCCAGUAGGGGGGGACAACUAUUCGAACGAGUAGCUAAUACCGCAUACGACGUAAGGGUGAACGUGGUGGAUCGCAAGACCUCAUGCUUUUGGAUCAGCCGGUGUCAGAUUAGCUUGUCGGUGAGGUAAAAGCUCCCCCAGGCGACGAUCUGUAGCUGGUCUGAGAGCACGACCAGCCACACUGGUACUGAGACAAGGCCCAGACUCCUACGGGAGGCAGCAGUGGGGAAUUUUGGACAAUGGGCGCAAGCCUGCUCCGGCAAUGCCGCGUGUGUGAAGAAGGCCUUCGGGUUGUAAAGCACUUUUGUUCAGGAAGAAAAGAUUCGUGCUAAUAUCAUGGGUCGAUGACGGUACCGGAAGAAUAAGCACCGGCUAACUACGUGCCAGCAGCCGCGGUAA
Molecule: ribosomal RNA, 500 nt
Filed under: uncultured bacterium
Lineage: Bacteria
Description: partial 16S ribosomal RNA
Rfam family: Bacterial small subunit ribosomal RNA
Source: RNAcentral